UACUUGUGUUGCAAAUGCAGUGAUGAAAGACUGCAAGAAAAGGCACUUCGGGGAGAGUGAAGGUUUUCCAGGCCAAUUGUGGUAGCUCCUCAUGCAUAGUGAAUCAGCAGCCACGGCGCUGUGUCCGUGGACUUGUAACAGGCGGAAACGCUCUCCUGUGGGCAGCGAAAGAAAGAUUCACAGGGCCCCCUGCAGCUGAACUGCAAAAGAUAGAAGAUCGGUUCCUGGGACAAUAGAUAGUAAAGUGAUGAAGGAAGUAAGCUCUCAGUAAACAAAAUGCAGAACGUUUUCCCUGCAGCUGUUUUUCCUUUGCAGAGAAUUGUGAGCAACCUGCAUCGGACGAAGGAAGC
Gasterosteus aculeatus aculeatus (three-spined stickleback) is the source of this 350-nucleotide long non-coding RNA. Lineage: Eukaryota; Metazoa; Chordata; Actinopteri; Perciformes; Gasterosteidae. The record is from Ensembl.